GAACUUAACACAUUUUUUUUGUAAGGAAAACCUCAUAUCAUCAUUGAUCGUCCCUCAUCUGGGGCCACAAUCAAGAGGAGCCUGAGAAAAUAAGAAAAAAAAAGGGUCGACAAAUAAGAGCAGGAACCCUUUGAACUCACCCUCACAAAUACGAAAAAAGCUGGACCAUCGAUCCUCAGGUCUCUCUCGAACCCCACUCUUUCUUUGUCUCUCGUCUAGGAUUGAAGUAUUAUUUCCAUUCGUUUGUGGGGUUUGUUCUCUCAAUCAGA
Molecule: long non-coding RNA, 269 nt
Filed under: Actinidia chinensis (golden kiwifruit)
Lineage: Eukaryota; Viridiplantae; Streptophyta; Magnoliopsida; Ericales; Actinidiaceae
Description: long non-coding RNA (ACHI_LNC005601)
Source: RNAcentral